UGCCACUCUGCUUCAACAGCAUGCCCUGUA
This 30-nucleotide non-coding RNA is filed under the name Homo sapiens (human). The record is from RNAcentral. Lineage: Eukaryota; Metazoa; Chordata; Mammalia; Primates; Hominidae.